UACGGAGGGUGCAAGCGUUGUCCGGAAUCACUGGGCGUAAAGGGCGCGUAGGCGGCCCGGUAAGUAGGGGGUGAAAUCCUGCGGCUUAACCGCAGGGCUGCCUUCUAAACUGUCGGGCUCGAGCACGGUAGAGGCAGAUGGAAUUCCCGGUGUAGCGGUGGAAUGCGUAGAGAUCGGGAUGAACAUCAGUGGCGAAGGCGGUCUGCUGGGCCGUUGCUGACGCUGAGGCGCGACAGCGUGGGGAGCAAACAGG
Molecule: ribosomal RNA, 253 nt
Filed under: uncultured bacterium
Lineage: Bacteria
Description: partial 16S ribosomal RNA
Rfam family: Bacterial small subunit ribosomal RNA
Source: RNAcentral